Molecule: ribosomal RNA, 477 nt
Filed under: Triticum aestivum (bread wheat)
Lineage: Eukaryota; Viridiplantae; Streptophyta; Magnoliopsida; Poales; Poaceae
Description: partial small subunit ribosomal RNA
Source: RNAcentral
AUGUUAAUAUCAGUACUUGCUUGGAUUGUGCCACUCGUUUCUGUAAAAAAUAUAAGUUGUGCUAUCACUGCGUUCACCACUAUUUGUGAAUUGAGUGUGUUAUAUGGUUAUUAUACUAUAAUUUCUAUGUUGCUACUAGUAUUUUCAUUCAAAUCUUGGAAACCUUGGAAUUUUGGAGAUUGUUCUGAAGCUCCUCCCACUGAGGCCCCCAGUUUCUCGUUCUUACUACUUAUGAUAUGUUCUUUGGUAUUUAGAUUUUGUGUGCGUUCAUCGUAUUGUCAUGUGAAGCGCAGUUCAUUGUAUUGUCAUGUGAGCAGCAAUGGCCAGCAGAGUUUCACACUCUGCUCCUCACUUAAUGAAAAAACAAAUGCAAACUUCGAUACAUCAAUACCAAAGAUCUUUAAGAGGUACAUUCAUGCCACAGUUUACCACGGAUUCGAUACAAGGUGGACACUUGUGUGCACCAAAUCUAGAUGA